GGCCGUGUGGCUUUUUUGAGUCUCUCUCACACAUGCAGGAGGAUUGGUCUCAGCAUGCACCUCGGGUAUCUCAUCCUCGCUGCUUUCCUGAGGCAACCACUAGGCACCAUGGGGCAGACCACCGUCACCCAGCAAGAAGGACAAGUCACAGUCAAGGAGAGAGACACCUUCCAAACAACCUGCACCUAUCAGGUCACUAACUUCUAUGGAUUGCUCUGGUACCAGCAGAGGAAAGGCCAAGGUCCACAGCUUAUCUCAUAUCAGGCAGCAGCUGGCCCCAGGCGGAAUGGCCGUCUCACCACGUUGCUGAACACCACGGGGAAGAACAGCCUUCUCCGGCUGGAGGAAGUCGAGGUCUCUGACGCUGCCUUGUACCUCUGUGCUGUGCAAGACACCCUGGUGCAGGAAGCUUCCUUGGCUGUGCAACAAGCCAGGGGAGAGAGGGCAUUGGUUUGUGUGAGGCUGAGCUUGGGGGAAGGGGCCCUCAGCUCUCCCCUGGCAGUGUUGCUUGCCCUGUACACCCAGAGCUCUGCAGGUCAAAAUCCUCUUCCAGGAGAGGACAGUGUCAGUGGCUCGAGAGGAAGAAGAAGGUGGUGAACGAGUCUCAGGUUCCCUUGUUUUCACCGUGGGUUAUGCAGUGAUUCUGCCCAUGGCUUUGGAGAAGUGAUGGGCAAUGUAGGAGGUUGGGACCGCUUGUGCAAUGCUUCCCUGCUGCUCUUAACUUUCUGGUUUUGUCUACUGCACGUUGCUUCUUCAGGUAUUCCUGCAAACCUGUUCCUUAGAGUACCUGCUCCGGGAUGUGUCCCUCAGAGGUCAGAGUUGAAAGUAAGAUGAAAAAUGUAAAUAACAUGCCACAGGACAACGCUCCUUCCAGGAAUUACAUGCUUACAACAAUUUUGGAAAAUACUCAGAACUACUCUGUGGGCUCCUCCAGUUGCUGCAUGCCUACGUGCUGUGAUCCAGAGGACCUGCUGUCCCGCAGUGCACUCUGCCGGUCCUUGGAGGCCUCCUCAUGCCCUACCUCGUGGGCUUUCCCCAGCCCUGCCUCAUUUCUUUUGCAGUGGGACCAGGCUGUACAACUCUGUACAAGAGCACAGUGGGGGAAGAGACCGCCAGGCAGAGGUGGGCAACAGGCCCUGCCAGGAGAAGAGCCAGCUUUGAGGAAAGCUGCUUCAUGCUUGGCAGAAGGCCAGGCACCACAGAGCAGCCAUGGGGGCUUGGGCACUGGCUGCUGUCCUUGGGCUCCCUGUCUGGUGGGAGCUGGGGCUGUGUGAGAAGCAUGAGGACCCUGGUGUGUGGCCUGGCCAGGCUGAUUUCAACAUCAGCCUGUGAGUCACCUUAGCCCUGCACACCUCUGUAACUGCUGGGCUGUGCAGGGCACUGUUUGGGGGG
Non-coding RNA from Aquila chrysaetos chrysaetos, 1392 nucleotides. The record is from the annotation of a RefSeq genome assembly. NCBI's taxonomy places the organism in Eukaryota, Metazoa, Chordata, Aves, Accipitriformes, Accipitridae.